This 253-nucleotide ribosomal RNA is filed under the name uncultured bacterium. RNAcentral describes it as "partial 16S ribosomal RNA". It matches the Rfam family "Bacterial small subunit ribosomal RNA", at positions 524 to 776 of the family's 1533-position model. The record is from RNAcentral.
UACGUAGGAUCCAAGCGUUGUCCGGAUUUACUGGGUGUAAAGGGUGCGCAGGCGGACCCGUAAGUCAGGAGUGAAAUCUCGGCGCUUAACGCCGAAACGUCUUUUGACACUGCGGGUCUUGGAUAAGCGAGAGGUUCGUGGAAUUCCGAGUGUAGCAGUGAAAUGCGCAGAUAUCAGGAAGAACACCCGUGGCGAAAGCGGCUCUCUGGAACGGUACUGACGCUGAGACGCGAAAGCGUGGGGAGCGAACAGG